UACGGAAGGCAGCAGUGGGGAAUAUUGCACAAUGGGCGAAAGCCUGAUGCAGCUAUGCCGCGUGUAUGAAGAAGGCCUUAGGGUUGUAAAGUACUUUCAUCGGGGAGGAAAAACAAAACUAAUAAUUUUAUUUCUUGACGUUACCCGAAAAAGAAGCACCGGCUAACUCCGUGCCAGCAGCCGCGGUAAUACGGAGGGUGCGAGCGUUAAUCGGAAUUACUGGGCGUAAAGGGCACGCAGGCGGUUAAUAAGUUGGAUGUGAAAUCCCCGGGCUUAACCUGGGAAUGGCAUUCAAGACUGGUUAGCUAGAGUCUUGUAGAGGGGGGUUAGAAUUCCAUGUGUAGCGGUGAAAUGCGUAGAGAUGUGGAGGAAUACCGGUGGCGAAGGCGGCCCCUGGACAAAGACUGACGCUCAUGUGCGAAAGCGUGGGGAGCAAACAGGGAUUAGAUACC
Molecule: ribosomal RNA, 452 nt
Filed under: uncultured bacterium
Lineage: Bacteria
Description: bacterial SSU rRNA
Rfam family: Bacterial small subunit ribosomal RNA
Source: RNAcentral